This 406-nucleotide ribosomal RNA is filed under the name uncultured bacterium. Its description in RNAcentral is "partial 16S ribosomal RNA". It matches the Rfam family "Bacterial small subunit ribosomal RNA", at positions 30 to 526 of the family's 1533-position model. The record is from RNAcentral.
AUUGAACGCUGGCGGCAGGCCUAACACAUGCAAGUCGAACGAGUGGCGGACGGGUGAGUAAUGUCUGGGAAACUGCCCGAUGGAGGGGGAUAACUACUGGAAACGGUAGCUAAUACCGCAUACCAUCGGAUGUGCCCAGAUGGGAUUAGCUAGUAGGGGGGGUAAAGGCUCACCUAGGCGACGAUCCCUAGCUGGCAUGAGAGGAUGACCAGAAAUACUGAAACUGUGACACGGUCCAGACUCUUACGGGAGGCAGCAGUGGGGAAUAUUGCACAAUGGGCGCAAGCCUGAUGCAGCCAUGCCGGGUGUAUGAAGAAGGCCUUCGUGUUGUAAAGUACUUUCAGCGGGGAGGCGUUACCCGCAGAAGAAGCACCGGCUAACUCCGUGCCAGCAGCCGCGGUAAUAC